GACGUAGGUGGCGAACGUUAUCCGGAAUCACUGGGCGUAAAGGGUGCGUAGGCGGGUCUUUAAGUCAGGGGUGAAAUCCUGGAGCUCAACUCCAGAACUGCCUUUGAUACUGAAGAUCUUGAGUUCGGGAGAGGUGAGUGGAACUGCGAGUGUAGAGGUGAAAUUCGUAGAUAUUCGCAAGAACACCAGUGGCGAAGGCGGCUCACUGGCCCGAUACUGACGCUGAUGCACGAAAGCGUGGGGAGCAAACAGG
This 253-nucleotide ribosomal RNA is filed under the name uncultured bacterium. Its description in RNAcentral is "partial 16S ribosomal RNA". It matches the Rfam family "Bacterial small subunit ribosomal RNA", at positions 524 to 776 of the family's 1533-position model. The record is from RNAcentral.